UCCGGUUUAUCACCGGCAGUCCCCCUAGAGUUCCCGGCCGAACCGCUGGCAACUAAGGGUAGGGGUUGCGCUCGUUGCGGGACUUGACCCAACAUCUCACGACACGAGCUGACGACAGCCAUGCAGCACCUCCACGUCAGCCCCGAAGGGAAACUCCAUCUCUGGAGCGGUCCACCGCAGUUCAAACCCAGGUAAGGUUCUUCGCGUUGCGUCGAAUUAAACCACAUGCUCCGCUGCUUGUGCGGGUCCCCGUCAAUUCCUUUGAGUUUUAAUCUUGCGACCGUACUUCCCAGGCGGGAUACUUAAUGCGUUAGCUACGACACCGAGUCUAUUGGAAAACCCGACGUCUAGUAUCCAUCGUUUAGGGCGUGGACUAC
RNAcentral lists this unclassified non-coding RNA (377 nucleotides) under uncultured bacterium. RNAcentral describes it as "contains 16S-23S intergenic spacer region". The record is from RNAcentral.